AGAGUUUGAUCCUGGCUCAGAGCGAACGCUGGCGGCAGCCUAACACAUGCAAGUCGAGCGCCCAGCAAUGGGAGCGGCAGACGGGAUAGUAACACGUGGGAACGUACCCUUCAGUUCGGAACAACCAAGGGAAACUUUGGCUAAUACCGGAUACGUCCGUAAGGAGAAAGAUUUAUCGCUGAAGGAUCGGCCCGCGUCUG
Molecule: ribosomal RNA, 200 nt
Filed under: uncultured bacterium
Lineage: Bacteria
Description: partial 16S ribosomal RNA
Rfam family: Bacterial small subunit ribosomal RNA
Source: RNAcentral